RNAcentral lists this ribosomal RNA (497 nucleotides) under uncultured bacterium. Its description in RNAcentral is "partial 16S ribosomal RNA". It matches the Rfam family "Bacterial small subunit ribosomal RNA", at positions 28 to 507 of the family's 1533-position model. The record is from RNAcentral.
GAUGAACGCUGGCGGCGUGCCUAAUACAUGCAAGUCGAGCGAACGGACGAGAAGCUUGCUUCUCUGAUGUUAGCGGCGGACGGGUGAGUAACACGUGGAUAACCUACCUAUAAGACUGGGAUAACUUCGGGAAACCGUAGCUAAUACCGGAUAAUAUUUUGAACCGCAUGGUUCAAUAGUGAAAGACGGUCUUGCUGUCACUUAUAGAUGGAUCCGCGCUGCAUUAGCUAGUUGGUAAGGUAACGGCUUACCAAGGCAACGAUGCAUAGCCGACCUGAGAGGGUGAUCGGCCACACUGGAACUGAGACACGGUCCAGACUCCUACGGGAGGCAGCAGUAGGGAAUCUUCCGCAAUGGGCGAAAGCCUGACGGAGCAACGCCGCGUGAGUGAUGAAGGUCUUCGGAUCGUAAAACUCUGUUAUUAGGGAAGAACAAAUGUGUAAGUAACUAUGCACGUCUUGACGGUACCUAAUCAGAAAGCCACGGCUAACUACGUG